This 438-nucleotide ribosomal RNA is filed under the name uncultured bacterium. RNAcentral describes it as "bacterial SSU rRNA". It matches the Rfam family "Bacterial small subunit ribosomal RNA", at positions 28 to 458 of the family's 1533-position model. The record is from RNAcentral.
GAUGAACGCUAGCGGCAGGCUUAACACAUGCAAGUCGAGGGGUAACAGGAGAAAGCUUGCUUUCUCGCUGACGACCGGCGAACGGGUGCGUAACACGUAUGCAACCUACCCUUAACAGGAAGAUAGCCCAGAGAAAUCUGGAUUAAUACUCCAUAAUAUCUCAUUUUCACAUGGUUAUGAGAUUAAAGCUCCGGCGGUUAAGGAUGGGCAUGCGUCCCAUUAGUUUGUUGGUGAGGUAACGGCUCACCAAGACUACGAUGGGUAGGGGGUCUGAGAGGAUGAUCCCCCACACUGGUACUGAGACACGGACCAGACUCCUACGGGAGGCAGCAGUGAGGAAUAUUGCGCAAUGGAGGAAACUCUGACGCAGCCAUGCCGCGUGCAGGAAGACGGCCCUACGGGUUGUAAACUGCUUUUAUGUGGGAAGAAACCCUGCUA